AUUGAACGCUGGCGGCGGGCUUAACACAUGCAAGUCGAACGAUUGGCGGCCGGGUGAGUAAUACUUGGGAAUCUAGCUUAUGGAGGGGGAUAACUACGGGAAACUGUAGCUAAGACCGCAGACCAUAGUAUUAGCCCAAGUGGGAUUAGGUAGUUGGUGUGGUAAAGGCUCACCAAGCCGACGAUCGCUAGCUGGUCUGAGAGGAUGAUCAGCCACACUGGGACUGAGACACGGCCCAGACUCCUACGGGAGGCAGCAGUGGGGAAUAUUGGGCAAUGGGCGCAAGCUGACGCAGCCACGCCGCGUGAAUGAAGAAGGCCUUCGGGUUGUAAAGCUCUUUUGUUAGAGAAGCGUUAACUAAAGAAGAAGCCACGGCUAACUACGUGCCAGCAGCCGCGGUAAUAC
Molecule: ribosomal RNA, 405 nt
Filed under: uncultured bacterium
Lineage: Bacteria
Description: partial 16S ribosomal RNA
Rfam family: Bacterial small subunit ribosomal RNA
Source: RNAcentral